This 450-nucleotide ribosomal RNA is filed under the name uncultured bacterium. Its description in RNAcentral is "partial 16S ribosomal RNA". It matches the Rfam family "Bacterial small subunit ribosomal RNA", at positions 338 to 795 of the family's 1533-position model. The record is from RNAcentral.
CCUACGGGGGGCUGCAGUGGGGAAUUUUGGACAAUGGGCGCAAGCCUGAUCCAGCAAUGCCGCGUGCAGGAUGAAGGCCUUCGGGUUGUAAACUGCUUUUGUACGGAACGAAAAAGCUCUGGUUAAUACCUGGGGCCCAUGACGGUACCGUAAGAAUAAGCACCGGCUAACUACGUGCCAGCAGCCGCGGUAAUACGUAGGGUGCAUGCGGUAAUCGGAAUUACUGGGGGCGGUUAUGUAAGACAGGGUUGAAAUCCCCGGGCUCAACCUGGGAACUGCCUUUGUGACUGCAUAGCUGGAGUGCGGCAGAGGGGGAUGGAAGUCCGCGUGUAGCAGUGAAAUGCGUAGAUAUGCGGAGGAACACCGAUGGCGAAGGCAAUCCCCUGGGCCUGCACUGACGCUCAUGCACGAAAGCGUGGGGAGCAAACAGGAUUAGAUACCCCGGUAGUC